GUUGAUCCUGCCGGAGGUCAUUGCUAUUGGGAUUCGAUUUAGCCAUGCUAGUUGUACGAGUUUAUACUCGUAGCGGAAAGCUCAGUAACACGUGGUCAAACUACCCUGUAGACCGUCAUAACCUCGGGAAACUGAGGCUAAUAACGGAUACGCAACAGCAGUUGGAAUACGCUGUUGAGAAAACGCUCAGGCGCUACAGGAUGUGGCUGCGGCCGAUUAGGUGGACGGUGGGGUAACGGCCCACCGUGCCAAUAAUCGGUACGGGUUGUGAGAGCAAGAGCCCGGAGACGGAAUCUGAGACAAGAUUCCGGGCCCUACGGGGCGCAGCAGGCGCGAAACCUUUACACUGCACGCCAGUGCGAUAGGGGGAUCCCAAGUGCGAGGGCAUAUUAGCCCUCGCUUUUGUGAACCGUAAGGCGGUUCACGAAUAAGAGCUGGGCAAGACCGGUGCCAGCCGCCGCGGUAAUACCGGCAGCUCGAGUGAUGACCGAUUUUAUUGGGCCUAAAGCGUCCGUAGCUGGCCGUACAAGUCCGUCGGGAAAUCUACCUGCCCAACAGGUAGGCGUCCGGCAGAAACUGUAUGGCUUGGAACCGGAAGGCGUGAAGGGUACGUCUGGGGUAGGAGUGAAAUCCUGUAAUCCCAGACGGACCACCGAUGGCGAAAGCACUUCACGAGGACGGAUUCGACAGUGAGGGACGAAAGCUAGGGUCUCGAACCGGAUUAGAUACCCGGGUAGUCCUAGCCGUAAAC
RNAcentral lists this ribosomal RNA (751 nucleotides) under uncultured haloarchaeon. RNAcentral describes it as "bacterial SSU rRNA". It matches the Rfam family "Archaeal small subunit ribosomal RNA", at positions 7 to 758 of the family's 1478-position model. The record is from RNAcentral. Lineage: Archaea; Methanobacteriati; Methanobacteriota; Halobacteria; Halobacteriales; Halobacteriaceae.